CCAAAGGCUCUUUUAAGAGCCACCUAUUUUCCCCAAAAAGAGCUGU
Non-coding RNA from Heterocephalus glaber (naked mole-rat), 46 nucleotides. The record is from Rfam. Lineage: Eukaryota; Metazoa; Chordata; Mammalia; Rodentia; Bathyergidae.